Molecule: ribosomal RNA, 253 nt
Filed under: uncultured bacterium
Lineage: Bacteria
Description: partial 16S ribosomal RNA
Rfam family: Bacterial small subunit ribosomal RNA
Source: RNAcentral
UACAGAGGGUGCGAGCGUUGUCCGGAAUUACUGGGCGUAAAGGGCGCGUAGGCGGCCUGAUAAGUAUGGGGUGAAAUCUCACGGCUCAACCGUGAGGCUGCCUUGUAGACUGUCAGGCUUGAGCACGGUAGAGGCAGAUGGAAUUCCCGGUGUAGCGGUGGAAUGCGUAGAGAUCGGGAAGAACACCAGUGGCGAAGGCGGUCUGCUGGGCCGUAGCUGACGCUGAGGCGCGACAGCGUGGGGAGCAAACAGG